AGGGCACCACCAGGAGUGGAGCCUGCGGCUUAAUUUGACUCAACACGGGAAAACUCACCCGGCCCGGACACUGGAAGGAUUGACUGAUUGAGAGCUCUUUCUUGAUUCAGUGGGUGGUGGUGCAUGGCCGUUCUUAGUUGGUGGAGCGAUUUGUCUGGUUAAUUCCGAUAACGAACGAGACUCUAGCCUACUAAAUAGAUCGUUGGCUUACAAACGCCAAUGGGACUUCUUAGAGGGACAGGCGGCGAUUCAGCCGCACGAAACAGAGCAAUAACAGGUCUGUGAUGCCCUUAGAUGUCCGGGGCCGCACGCGCACUACACUGAAGUGAUCAGCGUGCAUUCUCAGCCUACUCUGCCAAGAGUGGGAAACCCAAUGAACCUUCUUCGUGAUUGGGAUAGGAGAUUGUAAUUAUUCUCCUUGAACGAGGAAUUCCCAGUAAGCGCGAGUCAUAAGCUCGCGUUGAUUACGUCCCUGCCCUUUGUACACACCGCCCGUCGCUACUACCGAUUGAAUGUUUU
Molecule: ribosomal RNA, 519 nt
Filed under: uncultured eukaryote
Lineage: Eukaryota
Description: SSU rRNA
Rfam family: Eukaryotic small subunit ribosomal RNA
Source: RNAcentral